CAUGUCUUUUUGUUAAUAAUUUAAAGUCUAAUCUGCUCAAUGAUUAAUUAAAUAGCCGCAGUAUCUUGACUGUGCAAAGGUAGCAUAAUAAUUAGUUUCUUAAUUAGGAACUAGAAUGAAUGAUUGGACAAGAAGAUUUCUGUCUCUUUUUUAUUAUUAUUGAAUUUUAUUUUUAAGUGAAAAAGCUUAAAUUUAUGUAAAAGACGAGAAGACCCUAUAGAGUUUAAUUAAUUUUAAUUUUGUAAUAGUAGAAUAAAUGAAGUUAAUAAUUAAUUUGGUUGGGGUGAUUGGAAGAUUAAUUAAAUUCUUUUAUAUAAAAAUUGUUAGUUAAUAAAUUAAGAUUCUUUUUGUUAAAAGAUUAAAAUAAAUUACCUUAGGGAUAACAGCGUAAUUUUUCUUAUGAGUUCUUAUUUAAGGAAAAGUUUGCGACCUCGAUGUUGGAUUAAAAUUAAUUUUUGGUGCAGUAACUUAAAAAUUAGGUCUGUUCGACCUUUAAAAUUUUACAUGAUCUGAGUUUAGACCGGCGUGAGCCAGGUUAGAUUCUAUCUUUAAAAAAAUAUUAUAUUUUAGUACGAAAGGACCAAGUAUAAAACAAAUUAUUUG
Molecule: ribosomal RNA, 603 nt
Filed under: Xylobanus sp. UPOL A00074
Lineage: Eukaryota; Metazoa; Arthropoda; Insecta; Coleoptera; Lycidae
Description: partial 16S ribosomal RNA
Rfam family: Bacterial large subunit ribosomal RNA
Source: RNAcentral